CCCUUAGAUGUUCUGGGCCGCACGCGCGCUACACUGAACAGUUCAACAAGUCUUAACCUUGGCCGAUAGGUCUGGGUAAUCUUUGAACGCUGUUCGUGAUUGGGAUAGACCUUUGCAAUUAUGGGUCUUCAACGAGGAAUUCCUAGUAAACGCAAGUCAUCAGCUUGCAUUGAUUACGUCCCUGUCCUUUGUACACACCGCCCGUCGCACCUACCGAUUGAAUGGUCCGGUGAAAUCUCGGGACGGCGGCUUGGUCGCUUGCGUCCGACUGCUGAAACUUGAUUAAACCAUAUCAUUUAGAGGAAGGUGAAGUCGUAACA
RNAcentral lists this ribosomal RNA (320 nucleotides) under uncultured eukaryote. Its description in RNAcentral is "partial 18S ribosomal RNA". It matches the Rfam family "Eukaryotic small subunit ribosomal RNA", at positions 1470 to 1796 of the family's 1831-position model. The record is from RNAcentral.